ACAUACGACCAUACCCACUGGAGAACUCGGGAUCCCGUCCGCUCUCCCAUAGAUAAGCCAGUGAGGGCCGGAUCAGUAGUUGGGUCGGUGACGACCAGCGAAUACCUGGUGUUGUAUGUU
Non-coding RNA from Colletotrichum orbiculare MAFF 240422, 120 nucleotides. NCBI's taxonomy places the organism in Eukaryota, Fungi, Ascomycota, Sordariomycetes, Glomerellales, Glomerellaceae. The record is from Rfam.